GAUGAACGCUAGCGGCAGGCCUAAUACAUGCAAGUCGAGGGGCAGCGGGGUAGCAAUACUGCCGGCGACCGGCGCACGGGUGCGUAACACGUAUGCAACCUACCUUAAACUGGGAGAUAGCCCGGGGAAACUCGGAUUAAUACCCCAUAAUACAUUGGUUCACAUGAAUUGAUUGUUAAAGAUUUAUCGGUUUAAGAUGGGCAUGCGUUCGAUUAGCUAGUUGGUAAGGUAACGGCUUACCAAGGCUACGAUGGAUAGGGGGUCUGAGAGGAUGACACCCGCCGGUGGUACUGAGAUACGGACCAGACUCCUACGCGAGGCAGCAGUAGGGAAUAUUCGCCAAUGGAGGCAACUCUCAACUAGCCAUGCCGAGUGUAGGAGGAAGGCUUUCUGCGUUCUAAACGCCUUUUGAUUGGGCACAAAUGACACUUGCGAGAGUAGCUGAGUGUACCAAUAGCAUAAGCCACGGCUAAGUACGUGCCAGCCGCCGCAGUAA
RNAcentral lists this ribosomal RNA (496 nucleotides) under uncultured bacterium. RNAcentral's name for it is "partial 16S ribosomal RNA". It matches the Rfam family "Bacterial small subunit ribosomal RNA", at positions 28 to 523 of the family's 1533-position model. The record is from RNAcentral.